Molecule: long non-coding RNA, 509 nt
Organism: Vigna unguiculata (cowpea)
Lineage: Eukaryota; Viridiplantae; Streptophyta; Magnoliopsida; Fabales; Fabaceae
Source: RefSeq, a predicted model, not a curated record
GUGCACGUUGGAAUUGGGUGAAAAUGAGGGGUUAGGGUUUUGUCCCUCUUCCUCACAACGACCACACCCAUACGCACUUUCAUCCAUUUUUCUCUUUCACUACUCACAUUCAGAGCCUCCAUGGUCUUUCAAAAACAUCAUCACAGCAACGACUUCACCACGUCACCCCGGACACCACUGUGUGCACUCCUCGCACUUGGCUUCUGCCGCUAGACUUUCAUCAGACUAGGCCUUCCUUCGAUCUUGUCGUGGAAACUACUCCAACGUCGGAGUUCACAUCCUCUCAUCUUUGUGUCGACAAAGAUCAUUUUCCCAUCACUGUUAUCACCUAUGAGUUUUGAUCGGUGAGGACGACGAGUAUCAAUACCACAGUUCAGUGACCACGUGCUUUUCUAUAUGACGUUGGCGAGGCAUAGGUGAAGAGAUGCUAGCUAACUAUGAGGAUUUUUGAAAAAACAUGCUUUAUUUAAAUUUAUUUUAUUAAAGUUGGAUUAUAAUAAUGCAAUGAC